Molecule: ribosomal RNA, 1464 nt
Filed under: metagenome
Description: bacterial SSU rRNA
Rfam family: Bacterial small subunit ribosomal RNA
Source: RNAcentral
AGAGUUUGAUCCUGGCUCAGGACGAACGCUGGCGGCACGCCUAACACAUGCAAGUCGAACGGAGAUGAUUUGAGUUUACUUAGAUCAUCUUAGUGGCGGACGGGUGAGUAACACGUGAGCAACCUGCCUUUGAGAGAGGGAUAGCUUCUGGAAACGGAUGGUAAUACCUCAUAACAUACAGAUACCGCAUGGUGACUGUAUCAAAGAUUUACCACUCAAAGAUGGGCUCGCGUCUGAUUAGAUAGUUGGUGAGGUAACGGCUCACCAAGUCGACGAUCAGUAGCCGGACUGAGAGGUUGAACGGCCACAUUGGGACUGAGACACGGCCCAGACUCCUACGGGAGGCAGCAGUGGGGAAUAUUGCACAAUGGGGGAAACCCUGAUGCAGCGAUGCCGCGUGGAGGAAGAAGGUUUUCGGAUUGUGAACUCCUGUCUUAAAGGACGAUAAUGACGGUACUUUAGGAGGAAGCUCCGGCUAACUACGUGCCAGCAGCCGCGGUAAUACGUAGGGAGCGAGCGUUGUCCGGAAUUACUGGGUGUAAAGGGAGCGUAGGCGGGACGGCAAGUCAGAUGUGAAAUACAUGGGCUCAACCCAUGGGCUGCAUUUGAAACUGCUGUUCUUGAGUGAAGUAGAGGUAAGCGGAAUUCCUGGUGUAGCGGUGAAAUGCGUAGAUGUCAGGAGGAACACCGGUGGCGAAGGCGGCUUACUGGGCUUUUACUGACGCUGAAGCUCGAAAGUGCGGGUAUCGAACAGGAUUAGAUACCCUGGUAGUCCGCACGGUAAACGAUGGAUGCCCGCUGUUGGUCUGAACAGGUCAGCGGCCAAGCGAAAGCAUUAAGCAUCCCACCUGGGGAGUACGCCGGCAACGGUGAAACUCAAAGGAAUUGACGGGGGCCCGCACAAGCGGAGGAACAUGUGGUUUAAUUCGAUGAUACGCGAGGAACCUUACCCGGGCUUGAAUUGCAGAGGAAGGAUUUGGAGACAAUGACGCCCUUCGGGGUCUCUGUGAAGGUGCUGCAUGGUUGUCGUCAGCUCGUGCCGUGAGGUGUCGGCUUAAGUGCCAUAACGAGCGCAACCCCUCUCCUUAGUUGCCAUCAGGUUAAGCUGGGCACUCUGGGGACACUGCCACCGUAAGGUGUGAGGAAGGUGGGGAUGACGUCAAAUCAGCACGGCCCUUACGUCCGGGGCUACACACGUGUUACAAUGGCAGGUACAGAGAGACGGUUGUACGUAAGUACGAUCAAAUCCUUAAAGCCUGUCUCAGUUCGGACUGGGGUCUGCAACCCGACCCCACGAAGCUGGAUUCGCUAGUAAUCGCGCAUCAGCCAUGGCGCGGUGAAUACGUUCCCGGGCCUUGUACACACCGCCCGUCAAGCCAUGAAAGCCGGGGGCGCCUAAAGUCCGUGACCGUAAGGAGCGGCCUAGGGCGAAACUGGUAAUUGGGGCUAAGUCGUAACAAGGUA